GAUGAAGAACGUAGUGAAAUGCGAUAAUUAAUGUGAAUUGCAGAAUUCAGUGAAUCAUCGAAUCUUUGAACGCACAUUGCGCCCGCCAGUAUUCUGGCGGGCAUGCCUGUCCGAGCGUCAUUUCAACCCUCGAACCCCUCCGGGGGGUCGGCGUUGGGGAUCGGCCCUGCCUUUGGCGGUGGCCGUCUCCGAAAUACAGUGGCGGUCUCGCCGCAGCCUCUCCUGCGCAGUAGUUUGCACACUCGCAUCGGGAGCGCGGCGCGUCCACAGCCGUUAAACACCCAACUUCUGAAAUGUUGACCUCGGAUCAGGUAGGAAUACCCGCUGAACUUAAGCAUAUCAAUAAGCGGAGGA
RNAcentral lists this unclassified non-coding RNA (354 nucleotides) under soil metagenome. RNAcentral describes it as "partial contains 5.8S ribosomal RNA, internal transcribed spacer 2, and large subunit ribosomal RNA". The stretch from base 1 to 120 matches the Rfam family "5.8S ribosomal RNA", at positions 35 to 154 of the family's 154-position model. The record is from RNAcentral.